GCCCCGUCAACUAGAUGUGCCGGGAUGCCAGGACACCCGAUGUAAUAAAAUAAAAUAAAAAAGAAUGAAAGAUUAUAUAAUUUAUUUUGCAAUAAAAAGGGCAAAUCCGUGCUAUAAAAGAAUCAGUACCAGAGCUCCGAGAUUCUUAAUCCUGUAUGUAGGGUUUUGGUGAGGAUGAGGAUGGGGCCGGCGCCGGUUUCCGUUUUCUUACUUAGGGCUUCGUUUUCAAGAGCGCAAUCGGCGCUCUCCGCAAGUGGAAACGAAAUGACGCGCUGCAUCUCGGCAGGUAUUGAUGCCGACAUCUAAGGGUUUUGGUGAGGAUGAGGAUGGAGCCGGCUCCGGUUUCCGCUCUCUUACUUAGGGUUUUGUUUUCAAGAGCUCAAUCAGAUCUCUCCACAAGUGGAAACGAAAUGACGCGCUGCAUCUCGGCAGGUGUUGAUGCCGACAUCUAAGGUGCAUUUCCCAUUUUGGUUUGAAUGUCAAGAAUAUUGAUUUUGGCGUGUGUUCCCCAUUUUGGUCUUGAAGAAUGAAGAGUGUGCAGGUUGAAAGUAUUCUACUUAUAUCCUUUUGUUGAAUAAUCGAUUAUGAGCGAUAUGUUUGACUUUAUAGGUCUAGCAUUUUUGUUUCUGGAUCAUUUUUUAUUAGGUCUGUCCUGAAUCCCAAUGAAGAAUUUAUUUGCAAUAUAAAAGUAGUGGACUGAUAUCUUUUGAUGAAUAAUCAGUUCUGAGGGAUGCGGUUGAUCUUUAUGGUUUGUAUCUUAGGUUAAAAGUUGAGAAGACUCAGUAGAGUGUAUUUUUGGCAUGUGUUCUGCUCUAUUUUUGUGCAUCGUUAUGAUCAAUAAAUAAUGUCAUGCAGUUUAAAAGUAGUGAACUGAUAUCCUUCGUUGAUAAAUCUAUUUUGUUAUGUCUAUACCAUUCUUGUUUCUAGAACCCCACUUGGUUCUAUUUUGAAUCCCAAUGAUGAAUGUAUUUGCAAAUUUAAAAGUAGUGGACUGACGUCCUUUGAUGAAUAAUUAAUUCAGAGGGAUAUGGUUGAUCUUUUUGGUUUUUGUCAUUGUGAUUAGACUUUAUAGUUCAUAGCCAGCCCCUCACAUUAGUAGUGACUUUUGCUGCUGAGUUAUUGAAUUGGAUGCACUUGCCAGCGUGCGCAUCUCACCUAUUGAAGUUGGUUUGACUCUGUUUCACCAUCAAAAUCUAUUCCCUUCUGAUGAUGAUAAAUAAUGCGCCAAAGUAAAGCAUGGAAGAGACACGAAUGAUGGUAAACUUUUGCCCAUGCCAAACAACUGCUUGAUAUGAAGACCUGAAGAGAGUUUGAUUGCUCCAUCCCAUGGGUCAUUACAUUAUAAACAAGCCUUUGGUUGGUAAGGAACAGUAAGAGGCAGGACUCUGGAGCACAGGAUUAUAGGAGAGAUUUGCUUAUAGAAAAUAUGCCCAAACCAUUGUUGAACUUCUUUAAUUCUGUGUUUGGGAGUAUAUAAUUUGAAACUUGAAUUUGGAUUUGGGUGUGUUUGAAAUUUGAGUGUACACAUAUUUUAUUCCUAUAAAUAUAUUUGUCGAUUGCAAGUAUUCUUGCUA
Malania oleifera is the source of this 1574-nucleotide long non-coding RNA. RefSeq lists it as uncharacterized. The transcript is spliced from 3 exons. The record is from RefSeq and is a predicted model, not a curated record. NCBI's taxonomy places the organism in Eukaryota, Viridiplantae, Streptophyta, Magnoliopsida, Santalales, Ximeniaceae.